UACGAAGGUCCCAAGCGUUGUUCGGAAUCACUGGGCGUAAAGGGAGCGUAGGCGGCGUGGUAAGUCAGAUGUGAAAUCCCGGGGCUCAACCCCGGAACUGCAUCCGAUACUGCCAUGCUAGAGGAUUGGAGAGGUAGCUGGAAUUCUUGGUGUAGCAGUGAAAUGCGUAGAGAUCAAGAGGAACACUCGUGGCGAACGCGAGCUACUGGACAAUUCCUGACGCUGAGGCUCGAAGGCUAGGGUAGCGAAAGGG
This 253-nucleotide ribosomal RNA is filed under the name uncultured bacterium. RNAcentral's name for it is "partial 16S ribosomal RNA". It matches the Rfam family "Bacterial small subunit ribosomal RNA", at positions 524 to 776 of the family's 1533-position model. The record is from RNAcentral.